AGUUAUCGUUUAUUUGAUAGUACCUUACUACAUGGAUAACCGUGGUAAUUCUAGAGCUAAUACAUGCUGAAAGCCCCGACCUCCGGGAGGGGUGUGUUUAUUAGAUAAAAAACCAACGCCCUUCGGGGCUCCUUGGUGAAUCAUGAUAACCUCACGAAUCGCAUGGCCUUGCGCCGGCGAUGGUUCAUUCAAAUUUCUGCCCUAUCAACUUUCGAUGGUAGGAUCGUGGCCUACCAUGGUCGCAACGGGUAACGGGGAAUUAGGGUUCUAUUCCGGAGAGGGAGCCUGAGAAACGGCUACCACAUCCAAGGAAGGCAGCAGGCGCGCAAAUUACCCAAUCCCGACACGGGGAGGUAGUGACAAUAAAUACUGAUACAGGGCUCUUUCGGGUCUUGUAAUCGGAAUGGGUACAAUCUAAACCCCUUAACGAGGAACAAUUGGAGGGCAAGUCUGGUGGCUUCUGACGCCAGCGAUAGCGAGCAACCGUGCCGUCCACGGGUCCCGCUAGUCGAGYACCUGAACGCCAUGAUGGGUGGGUGCCGGCAAGACAACCUGGAUCGGGGGAGGCUGGGGCCGCGUCGCGGUCUGUCGACCCCGAACGGAGCCCCCGCACGAGGGGCCCGUGUAGAGCGCGCAAAGGUGUCGGUCGGCCCGGAGGUGGGCCGGCUUGAGGGACGUGCCAUUCCCGUCCGAAAGGACGAGCUCCGUCGAAGCCCCCAUCAGGUGAGGGCGGAGCGGGGCCUCGGCUUGGGGGUCGAGGCCCGGAGAUGACAAGGCCAGCAGCCGCGGUAAUUCCAGCUCCAAUAGCGUAUAUUAAAGUUGUUGCAGUUAAAAAGCUCGUAGUUGAACCUUGGGCCUGGCUGGCCGGUCCGCCUCACCGCGUGCACUGGACCGGCCGGGCCUUUCCUCCUGGGGAACCGCAUGCCCUUCACUGGGGGUGCCGGGGAUCCAGGACGUUUACCUUGAGAAAAUUAGAGUGUUCAAAGCAGGCCUAUGCUCGAAUACAUUAGCAUGGAAUAAUAGAAUAGGACGUGCGGUUCUAUUUUGUUGGUUUCUAGGACCGCCGUAAUGAUUAAUAGGGAUAGUCGGGGGCAUCCGUAUUCAAUUGUCAGAGGUGAAAUUCUUGGAUUUAUUGAAGACGAACUACUGCGAAAGCAUUUGCCAAGGAUGUUUUCAUUAAUCAGUGAACGAAAGUUAGGGGAUCGAAGACGAUCAGAUACCGUCGUAGUCUUAACCAUAAACCAUGCCGACUAGGGAUCGGGCGGUGUUAUUCUUUUGACCCGCUCGGCACCUUACGAGAAAUCAAAGUCUUUGGGUUCUGGGGGGAGUAUGGUCGCAAGGCUGAAACUUAAAGAAAUUGACGGAAGGGCACCACCAGGCGUAAACCCAUCGCAAUAAGCCGCGAUAGUCUCUGCGCCGAACAGCAGCCUGAAAGGGUAUGGUGGUGCCGUGACGUGCCCGAACAGGCACCGAGUGUUAAAUGCUAGUUCGCCCCUGUGGUGAGCAACACACUCAAACUGCGGGGAACCCCUAAAGCCCCCUACUACCAAGCUGACGUUCGGAAGGCGUCAGUGGCCGGGCUAACAGCCCUGGGUAUGGUGAUAAGGUAGGAAGAUGGUACAAUGGGCUAUCCGCAUCCAAACCCCCUUUAUCGAGGUAAGUUGUCAAGCGCAAGCGCAAAUUUGCCUUGGGUAUGGGGUCGGUUCAGAGACUAAAUGGGUGUGGGUUUGGUCCAUUACGCGUCCGCGAUGUUGUAGACCUCGCCUGAGAUAUAGUCCAGAGCCACCGAAAGGUAGGAAUACGCAAGGGGAGCCUGCGGCUUAAUUUGACUCAACACGGGGAAACUCACCAGGUCGACUGUCUGGGCCUGGAAGAGCGGUUCUUCGCAGGCCGCUAGUGCCGUACCUUUUCAUGCGGGGGCGUCCUCGAGUUUGGGCAUGAAGGCCCCCGCUCCAGUCGGGGGUCCGUACGGUGCAACACCAGCUGGUACAGGGAACGCCGGGGAUCGCGGUUGUCUGCAUCCUGGCCAAUCCUGUGGCGAGCCCAGGUUACAUUGGGCCGUCGCAACGCGCGCCAAGCGGUGGGUUUCACUUCCCUGGGGAGGAGAAGCUUAAGGUACGCGCUAUUCCCACGGGUAAUCGUGCCCUAGCGAUAAGGUCCAAAUGCCAAAGUGCUAGGGGUUCCUUGAUGGUCGUACUGAGGAACGGGUAUAUGACCGAAAAACUGCCAGACACAACUAGGAUUGACAGAUUGAGAGCUCUUUCUUGAUUUUGUGGGUGGUGGUGCAUGGCCGUUCUUAGUUGGUGGAGUGAUUUGUCUGCUUAAUUGCGAUAACGAACGAGACCUUAACCUGCUAAAUAGCCCGGCCAGCCUUGGCUGGUCGCCGGCUUCUUAGAGGGACUAUCGGCUCAAGCCGAUGGAAGUUUGAGGCAAUAACAGGUCGACGCCGUCACAGGCCUGUCACAGUGGAUGCCCUGCGAGGGCACACCCGCUAGUUCAACGUCUUUAUCUCUGUGGGGGAAGCGCCCCCGCUGUCGGGCAGGGACGAGGGCUGCAGGUAUGGGUGCCUGCUCCUUCGUGACGUGAGCAACACCACCUGGUACAGGGAACGCCAGCGCCCCGAACCGAAGGGGCCUCGGCCGAUCCUGUGACGAGUCUGCGGAGCGGCAGACCGUUGCAACGCGCGGUAAGGGGUGGGCCGGUCGAACGGCUUGAGGUACGUGCUAAUCCCUUGGGGAACCAAGCCCCUCCGGUGAGACCCGACCAGUCGAACCGCUGGGGGACGUCGACCCCCGUUCCUGGGGCGCCGUCGGACCGAGGAGACAAUGCUGUGAUGCCCUUAGAUGUUCUGGGCCGCACGCGCGCUACACUGACAGAGCCAACGAGUUCAUCACCUUGGCCGGAAGGCUUGGGUAAUCUUGUUAAACUCUGUCGUGCUGGGGAUAGAGCAUUGCAAUUAUUGCUCUUCAACGAGGAAUGCCUAGUAAGCGCGAGUCAUCAGCUUGCGUUGAUUACGUCCCUGCCCUUUGUACACACCGCCCGUCGCUACUACCGAUUGAAUGGCUCAGUGAGGCCUCCGGACUGGCCCCAGGAGGUCGGCAACGACCACCCGGGGCCGGGAAGC
Molecule: ribosomal RNA, 3124 nt
Filed under: Peltula obscurans var. deserticola
Lineage: Eukaryota; Fungi; Ascomycota; Lichinomycetes; Lichinales; Phylliscaceae
Description: partial small subunit ribosomal RNA
Rfam family: Eukaryotic small subunit ribosomal RNA (bases 1-1468)
Source: RNAcentral